UUGCCCGAGGAGCGUUGCAACGCACGGCGCGCGAGCCCUUCGCCGCCCUGUGCCAGGCUCGGGACUUUGAUCGCAGGCCGCUUCUUUCUCCUUGCUGGCGGCUUUCCUUCAACGGCGCUCACCCAAC
This 127-nucleotide non-coding RNA is filed under the name Thiomonas bhubaneswarensis. Its description in RNAcentral is "SAH sequence". It matches the Rfam family "SAH (S-adenosyl-L-homocysteine) riboswitch aptamer". The record is from Rfam by way of RNAcentral. Lineage: Bacteria; Pseudomonadati; Pseudomonadota; Betaproteobacteria; Burkholderiales.